Molecule: ribosomal RNA, 402 nt
Filed under: uncultured prokaryote
Description: bacterial SSU rRNA
Rfam family: Bacterial small subunit ribosomal RNA
Source: RNAcentral
UAGGGAAUAUUAGAAAUGGACGAAAGUCUGAUCUAGCAACACCGCGUGUGCGAAGAAGGCCUUCGGGUUGUAAAGCACUUUUUGGAAGGAUUAGGAAGGAAUGUACUUCCAGAAUAAGUCUCGGCUAACUACGUGCCAGCAGCCGCGGUAACACGUAGGAGGCAAACGUUAUCCGGAUUUACUGGGCGUAAAGCGCGUGUAGGUGGUUCUGUAAGUAGGGCGUGAAAGCUCCUGGCUCAACUGGGAGAGGCCGUUCUAAACUGCAGAGCUAGAGGAUGGUAGAGGUAUGUGGAAUUCCGGGUGUAGCGGUGGAUUGUGCAGAUAUCCGGAGGAACACCAGUGGCGCAAGCGGCCUCCUGGACCAUUCCUGACACUCAGACGCGCAAGCUAGGGUAUCAAACG